Molecule: long non-coding RNA, 2527 nt
Filed under: Capsicum annuum
Lineage: Eukaryota; Viridiplantae; Streptophyta; Magnoliopsida; Solanales; Solanaceae
Description: long non-coding RNA (CANN_LNC009623)
Source: RNAcentral
UGGGGAGGAUCUACUGGACGAAUUACAAGAAGCUCAAUAUUUUUUCAAAUUGAAUCUAAGGUUGGGUUACCAUCAAAUUCGAAUGAAAGAAAGGGAUAACACAAAACGACGUUCAAAACUCAUCACGACCUUUGGGAGUUCAGGGUGAUAUCAUUUGGGCUCACUAAUGCUUCAGCCACGUUCAAGACCUAUGCACAAGAUAUUUGGACCGUAUCUCAGAAAGUUUGUACUUGUAUUUUUUGAUGAUAUUUUAAUUUACAGUACGAAUAUUAUGGAAUAUGUGACCCAUUUAGAAAUUGUAUUUAAUCUAUUAGGAGAUAACCAACUCUUCAUCAAAAGAUCAAAGUGCACUUUUUCUUAGAAAAUGGUAGAAUAUGUAGGCCAUAUAAUUAUGGUAAUGAGGUCAGUACAGAUAAAGAAAAAAAUAAAUCCAUGUUGCAAUUGGGCAAAUUUAAAUCUCUCAAAGAUUUGAGAGGUUUCUUGGGCAUAACAGGAUACUGUCGUAGGUUUAUUAAAAGUUUUGCUGUGAUUAGUAAACCUUUAAUCAAUCUGUUGAAAAAGGGAAAUAUCUUAUGGAAUGAGAAAGCAACUAAGGCAUUUGAGGAGCUCAAACUAGCAACGGCAAACACCCAGUCUUACAUUACCCAAUUUUCCAUUUAUUUUGUAGUAGAAGUUGAUGUUUGUGGUAGAGAAGUAGGAACAUAUUUGAGCCAAGCAUUGAUUACUAGGCAUCAUGGCUUGUCAACAUAUGAAAAAGAAUUGAUCACUUUACAUAUGAUUGUGGAUAAGUGGCAUUAUGACUUGCAACAGAGUCAUUUUGCAAUCAAAACAGAUCAUUUUGGCCUUAAGUUCCGGAGAAAUCAAAGGAUUACUAAUGCCUUACAACACAAAGGAUUUACCAAACUCAUGGGUCUUAGCUACGAAAUAUAUUAUAAAAAGAGAGUUGAAAAUGUCAUAGCGGAUACCCUCUCUAGAAAUUUUAAAGAAUCUGAGUGUGGUAAUUCAUCCCAAAUAGAUGGUUAAAGUCAUGAAAAACUACAAUAGUGACACAAAAGCACAAGAUAUGAUUACUUAACUAAGUAUUGACUUUAGUAGUCAAACUAAUAGUCAAUUUCAUUAGAGAAUUCUCAGGAACCAAGGGCAAGUAUGGGCGGGAAGUAAUGGCCAAUUAAGACCAAAGCUUAUUUCUGAGCUACAUGAAACUCCUUGGGACGGAUAUUCAGGUGUAUAUGCAAAUCAACAGAAGGUGCAAGCCUUGUUUUAUUGGCCGAGCCUAUUGCAAGAUGUGAAAAACUUUAUUAAAGAAAGCAAAAUAUGUCAAAUAAACAAAGGAGAGAAUAUACUUUAUCCUGGACUACUUCAACCUUUGCCAAUUCCCACUAAGGCAUGGGAGCAUUUAACCAAAGAUUUCAUCAAGGCUCUGCCAAAAUCAAACAGGAAGCACUCAAUUCUAGUGGUAAUUGACAAGUAUAUAAAAUUUGCACUCUUUUUUGGCUUAGUCAUCCCUACAAUGUUGCUCAAAUUUCACAGGUCUUUUUAGACAAUAUUUGCAAAUUACAUAGCCUUUCUAGUUCGAUUGUCUCAGAUAGGGAUCCUAUAUUUAUCAGUACCUUUUGGAGGGAACUAUUUAAGGGAUUGCAUAUCUAAUUAAAGCCAAGUUCAGCGUAUCAUUCCCAAACUGAUGGUCAAUCUGAUAGGCUUAAUAGAUGCUUGAAGACGUACCUUUAUAGUAUGGAGAGAUACAAACCAUCUAAGUAGAGCAAAUGGUUACCAUUAAUAGAAUUUUGGUAUAAUUCUAACUUUUAUACUUCAAUUGGAAUGACUCCUUUCAAAGCCCUUUAUGGUUAUGAUCCACCCCAGCCUACUUUUGAAUUAGUGGCUUAAUCGAAAUUGGAUGUCGUUGACUAAGUAUUGAGAGAAAGACAAUUGAUGAACAAGAUAUUGCAAGAUAAUUUGAAGAAGCCCAAAAUUGAACGAAGAACUAUGGUGACACUAAGAGGACCGAGAGGAAAUUCGAAGUCUAGGAUUGGGUCUUCUUAAAAUUGCAGCCUCAUCGCCAAACUUCAAUAGCCGUGAAAAAGAAUUUGAAGUUAUCUGCCAGAUUCUUUGGUCCUUAAAAAGUAAUUCGUAAGGUGGGGGAAGUAGCUUAUGAGCUCUGUCUUCCUAGUGACUCCAGAAUCUAUCCUGUGUUUCAUGUCUCGCAAUUGAAAAAAAAGAUAAGUGACAAGGUUAUGGCAUUUCAAGAUCCUCCCUAAUGCACUAAUGAAGGGAAAAUUUUGACAAAACCCAUAUCAAUUUUGGAAAGACGUAUGUUCAAGAAAGGUAACUGGGUAGUGACACAAGUGUUAAUCCAAUGGGCAAACCUUCUAGCAAAUGAAGCAACAUGGCAGGAUUAUGCUUUGUAAAGUCUCAGUUUUCAAAUUUUGAACCUUGAUUCGACAAUUAAGUUUCUGAAGGAGAGUGGAAUGUAAUAUGAAGGAGAAGAACAAGUGUUCUGGGCCUUUAUUUGCAAUUGAGCCGAGUAUAA